AUUGAACGCUGGCGGCAUGCCUUACACAUGCAAGUCGAACGGCAGCAUGAUCUAGCUUGCUAGAUUGAUGGCGAGUGGCGAACGGGUGAGUAAUACAUCGGAACGUGCCCUGUAGUGGUGGAUAACUAGUCGAAAGAUUAGCUAAUACCGCAUACGACCUGAGGGUGAAAGUGGGGGACCGCAAGGCCUCAUGCUAUAGGAGCGGCCGAUGUCUGAUUAGCUAGUUGGUGAGGUAAAGGCUCACCAAGGCGACGAUCAGUAGCUGGUCUGAGAGGACGAUCAGACACACUGGGACUGAGACACGGCCCAGACUCCUACGGGAGGCAGCAGUGGGGAAUUUUGGACAAUGGGCGAAAGCCUGAUCCAGCAAUGCCGCGUGUGUGAAGAAGGCCUUCGGGUUGUAAAGCACUUUUGUCCGGAAAGAAAUGGCUCUGGUUAAUAACUGGGGUCGAUGACGGUACCGGAAGAAUAAGGACCGGCUAACUACGUG
RNAcentral lists this ribosomal RNA (490 nucleotides) under uncultured bacterium. RNAcentral describes it as "partial 16S ribosomal RNA". It matches the Rfam family "Bacterial small subunit ribosomal RNA", at positions 30 to 507 of the family's 1533-position model. The record is from RNAcentral.